AUUGAACGCUGGCGGCAUGCCUUACACAUGCAAGUCGAACGGCAGCACGGGAGCAAUCCUGGUGGCGAGUGGCGAACGGGUGAGUAAUAUAUCGGAACGUGCCCAGUCGUGGGGGAUAACGCAGCGAAAGCUGUGCUAAUACCGCAUACGAUCGAUGGAUGAAAGCGGGGGCUCGCAAGACCUCGCGCGAUUGGAGGGGCCGAUAUCAGAUUAGCUAGUUGGUGAGGUAAAGGCUCACCAAGGCGACGCUCUGUAGCUGGUCUGAGAGGACGGCCAGCCACACUGGAACUGAGACACGGUCCAGACUCCUACGGGAGGCAGCAGUGGGGAAUUUUGGACAAUGGGCGAAAGCCUGAUCCAGCAAUGCCGCGUGCAGGAUGAAGGCCUUCGGGUUGUAAACUGCUUUUGUACGGAACGAAACGGUGAGCUCUAAUACAGUUUGCUAAUGACGGUACCGUAAGAAUAAGCACCGGCUAACUACGUGCCAGCCGCCGCCGUAA
RNAcentral lists this ribosomal RNA (500 nucleotides) under uncultured bacterium. RNAcentral describes it as "partial 16S ribosomal RNA". It matches the Rfam family "Bacterial small subunit ribosomal RNA", at positions 30 to 523 of the family's 1533-position model. The record is from RNAcentral.